AGUGAACGCUGGCGGUAGGCCUAACACAUGCAAGUCGAACGGCAGCACAGUAAGAGCUUGCUCUUACGGGUGGCGAGUGGCGGACGGGUGAGGAAUACAUCGGAAUCUACUUUUUCGUGGGGGAUAACGUAGGGAAACUUACGCUAAUACCGCAUACGACCUACGGGUGAAAGCAGGGGAUCUUCGGACCUUGCGCGAUUGAAUGAGCCGAUGUCGGAUUAGCUAGUUGGCGGGGUAAAGGCCCACCAAGGCGACGAUCCGUAGCUGGUCUGAGAGGAUGAUCAGCCACACUGGAACUGGGACACGGUCCAGACUCCUACGGGAGGCAGCAGUGGGGAAUAUUGGACAAUGGGCGCAAGCCUGAUCCAGCCAUACCGCGUGGGUGAAGAAGGCCUUCAGGUUGUAAAGCCCUUUUGUUGGGAAAGAAAAGCAGCAGGUUAAUACCCCGCUGUUCUGACGGUACCCAAAGAAUAAGCACCGGCUAACUUCGUG
This 492-nucleotide ribosomal RNA is filed under the name uncultured bacterium. RNAcentral's name for it is "partial 16S ribosomal RNA". It matches the Rfam family "Bacterial small subunit ribosomal RNA", at positions 29 to 507 of the family's 1533-position model. The record is from RNAcentral.